Molecule: ribosomal RNA, 490 nt
Filed under: Opistoplatys sp. MF-2016
Lineage: Eukaryota; Metazoa; Arthropoda; Insecta; Hemiptera; Reduviidae
Description: partial 28S ribosomal RNA
Rfam family: Eukaryotic large subunit ribosomal RNA
Source: RNAcentral
GCAUAAUAAAAGUAAAAAGGUGUUUUGGAUGAUGGGGGAAGAUUAUUUUUUUUUUUUUUUUCUUCAUUUAUCCUUAAUCCUAAGGGAAGAUGAUAAUUACUUUUUUCUCAAUUUUUUUUUUGAGUAAAAAGAUAAACAAUUGUCCGCAUUCCCGGGGCGCUUGUUCUUGCUUUGCAAGUCUAUGCGCACCUAGAGCGUACACGAUAAUACCCGAAAGAUGGUGAACUAUGCCUGGCCAGGACGAAGCCAGGGGAAACCCUGGUGGAGGUCCGCAGCGAUUCUGACGUGCAAAUCGAUCGUCAGAGCUGGGUAUAGGGGCGAAAGACCAAUCGAACCAUCUAGUAGCUGGUUCCCUCUGAAGUUUCCCUCAGGAUAGCUUGCGCUCGGUUGAGACGAGUCUCAUCCGGUAGAGCGAAUGAUUAGAGGCAUUGGGGUCGAAACGACCUCAACCUAUUCUCAAACUCCAAAUAGAUGAGAACCCCGGCUUUCU